AAGAAAGUAUGCAAGAACUGCUAACUCAUGCCUCCGCGCUUAAACCCGUGGCUUUCUUA
Molecule: transfer RNA, 59 nt
Filed under: Sciurus vulgaris (Eurasian red squirrel)
Lineage: Eukaryota; Metazoa; Chordata; Mammalia; Rodentia; Sciuridae
Description: tRNA-Ser
Source: RNAcentral